Molecule: transfer RNA, 74 nt
Filed under: Mycobacterium phage NicoleTera
Lineage: Duplodnaviria; Heunggongvirae; Uroviricota; Caudoviricetes
Description: tRNA-Trp
Rfam family: tRNA
About the family: Transfer RNA (tRNA) molecules are approximately 80 nucleotides in length.
Source: RNAcentral
GGGUUAGUAGCUCAAUCGGUAGAGCAGCGGUCUCCAAAGCCGCCGGCUGGUGGUUCGAAUCCAUCCUGGCCCGC